CAAACCACGUUGAAUACGUUCCCGGGUCUUGUACACACCGCCCGUCACGUCAUGAAAGUCGGGGGCACCCGAAGUACCCUGUUUACAGGGUCCUAAGGUGAAUUCGGUAAUUGGGACG
Molecule: ribosomal RNA, 118 nt
Filed under: uncultured bacterium
Lineage: Bacteria
Description: partial 16S ribosomal RNA
Rfam family: Bacterial small subunit ribosomal RNA
Source: RNAcentral